CUUUGCCAUCCCGCUUCAACAGCAGCGAGUGUCCCACCAGGGGAAGAGCGGUGGCGACCGUCGGGAUCGCCCUCAUCUGCUGCCAUCUCCGCGCGUAGCUUGCCAGCCUCUGCACGAGGGUCAGCAGGAGGGUGGCCCCCGCCAGGGAGAGGGCGCUCGCCGCGCCCCAAAGCAGCAGCUUCUGCCCGACGAGCACCAGCCAGAGCCCGGUCAUCGCGCCGCGGUCCACUUCGCGCCGGCGGCCGCAGUGACCGUGAAGGGGACGCGGCCGCGCUGCUUGGGGAUGGCGGGGAGGGGCCCUCGGGCGGGUCUAGGCCCCUGGGGUUCACGUGUGCUGGUCCCGUGAGGAGUCCUGGACCCGCCCGCCAGGCUCACACCCUCAGGCUCCGGCCGGGGUAGGAGAGCCGGCAGCCCUGAAGGACCCGCCCCGGGACUUGCGCUUCCACACCCCCGCCCCGAGGCCGCAAGGGAAAGCGCCGCAGGGAGUAUCGCGGUGGAGGACGAGCGCCCACGUAACGCGCACCGGCUUAUUUGCUUGGUUCAAGCUGAAAGCGAAAGUCCGGAAAACAGCUUCUGGAGCUCAUUAGGGUGUUUUGAACGCAAGUGAAGGCCGUCGUGGCUGGAGAUGGGAGGAAAAGAAAGGCUGAGGCGCCUUAAUCUCGAUUCCGGUUCCUUGGUCUACAUUCUAUGCUCUUACCAAGUAGCAGGUCCUUAAGUUAUAGCCAAAGUGCUGGAAAAGAUGAAAUACUUAAGAAUGUACUGGAUUACUGCUUCAAUUAAACGUUUUCACUCACUCCCACCACAAGCAAGGAAGACAAUGAAGUUUCUGUUUUGUUCACCACUGGAAAGGUGAAACAGUACCAGGUACAAAGCAAGGAGGUACUUGAUAAAUCUAUGCUACAUGGAGUAUAAAGAUAUUACCUACAUAUGAUCCAGCUAACACAAUGUCCAUUCCAGGAAGACAAUGAAGUUUCUGUUUUGUUCACCACUGGAAAGGUGAAACAGUAUCAGGUACAAAGCAGGUGACCCAGUGACACCAGGUCUCUAUUGUUCUCCAACAUCACGUGUCAGUACAGGUCCUUCUGAGCAGGGCCCAGUGGCUGCCAUUCCUUCCAGUCUCUUCUAGGUCUGCUCUAAAUUUCUGUUCAGAACUCUGUCUCCAGUAAAGGGUGUCCAAGAAAUGAUGAUAUCCAAGUCCUGGAUCCUCCUACUUCUUUCACUUGAUCUCGCUUGCUCCUGGGGAGCCAGAACCUGUGGGCUCGGAACUUUCAGAAAUCGCAGUUUCAAAACACCAUUCCCGUAUAAUCGCAUAGUUAUACAUUCACCACCGUAAUCUAUAUGAGGACAUUUCCACUUCUUCUGCAAGGAAAGAUGAAAAAGGAGAAAAAAGAAAAUAGAAAAAAAUGAAG
Long non-coding RNA from Choloepus didactylus (southern two-toed sloth), 1409 nucleotides. RefSeq lists it as uncharacterized. The record is from RefSeq and is a predicted model, not a curated record. NCBI's taxonomy places the organism in Eukaryota, Metazoa, Chordata, Mammalia, Pilosa, Megalonychidae. The transcript is spliced from 6 exons.